UAAAACUUUCAACAACGGAUCUCUUGGCUCUGGCAUCGAUGAAGAACGCAGCGAAAUGCGAUAAGUAAUGUGAAUUGCAGAAUUCAGUGAAUCAUCGAAUCUUUGAACGCACAUUGCGCCCCUUGGUAUUCCGAGGGGCAUGCCUAUUCGAGCGUCAU
This 158-nucleotide ribosomal RNA is filed under the name Tetracladium breve. RNAcentral describes it as "5.8S ribosomal RNA". It matches the Rfam family "5.8S ribosomal RNA". Rfam says of the family: 5.8S ribosomal RNA (5.8S rRNA) is a component of the large subunit of the eukaryotic ribosome. The record is from RNAcentral. Lineage: Eukaryota; Fungi; Ascomycota; Leotiomycetes; Helotiales. RNAcentral also lists the same sequence under 1 other name.